UGUAUUGAUAUGUGCGGUGGGAGUGGAGUGCAGGAGGACUGGAGUUCACAACUUCUCAGCAAAGUGUUACACCUCUCAGAACGGACAUCUAGACCACACAGUUACCCUUUUGCUAUGGAUGGGUGUGUCUUCCUCAGUUCUCACUUUGUAGAGCUGCACUUUUUAAAGUUCAGCUCAGACAGCUGCUGGCACAAAGAGGGCCAUACUGAAGACUCCAUGGAGAGAGUAAGAAUGUUCUCCCCUGUGUCUGGACACAGGACGCGUCUUAAGGAAUAA
Molecule: long non-coding RNA, 276 nt
Filed under: Canis lupus familiaris (dog)
Lineage: Eukaryota; Metazoa; Chordata; Mammalia; Carnivora; Canidae
Description: lncRNA (ENSCAFG00040022046.1)
Source: RNAcentral